Molecule: ribosomal RNA, 1436 nt
Filed under: uncultured organism
Description: SSU rRNA
Rfam family: Bacterial small subunit ribosomal RNA
Source: RNAcentral
UACAGGCUUAACACAUGCAAGUCGAGGGCAGCAUGGUCUUAGCUUGCUAAGGCCGAUGGCGACCGGCGCACGGGUGAGUAACACGUAUCCAACCUGCCGUCUACUCUUGGACAGCCUUCUGAAAGGAAGAUUAAUACAAGAUGGCAUCAUGAGUCCGCAUGUUCACAUGAUUAAAGGUAUUCCGGUAGACGAUGGGGAUGCGUUCCAUUAGAUAGUAGGCGGGGUAACGGCCCACCUAGUCUUCGAUGGAUAGGGGUUCUGAGAGGAAGGUCCCCCACAUUGGAACUGAGACACGGUCCAAACUCCUACGGGAGGCAGCAGUGAGGAAUAUUGGUCAAUGGGCGAGAGCCUGAACCAGCCAAGUAGCGUGAAGGAUGACUGCCCUAUGGGUUGUAAACUUCUUUUAUAAAGGAAUAAAGUCGGGUAUGGAUACCCGUUUGCAUGUACUUUAUGAAUAAGGAUCGGCUAACUCCGUGCCAGCAGCCGCGGUAAUACGGAGGAUCCGAGCGUUAUCCGGAUUUAUUGGGUUUAAAGGGAGCGUAGAUGGAUGUUUAAGUCAGUUGUGAAAGUUUGCGGCUCAACCGUAAAAUUGCAGUUGAUACUGGAUAUCUUGAGUGCAGUUGAGGCAGGCGGAAUUCGUGGUGUAGCGGUGAAAUGCUUAGAUAUCACGAAGAACUCCGAUUGCGAAGGCAGCCUGCUAAGCUGCAACUGACAUUGAGGCUCGAAAGUGUGGGUAUCAAACAGGAUUAGAUACCCUGGUAGUCCACACGGUAAACGAUGAAUACUCGCUGUUUGCGAUAUACUGCAAGCGGCCAAGCGAAAGCGUUAAGUAUUCCACCUGGGGAGUACGCCGGCAACGGUGAAACUCAAAGGAAUUGACGGGAGCCCGCACAAGCGGAGGAACAUGUGGUUUAAUUCGAUGAUACGCGAGGAACCUUACCCGGGCUUAAAUUGCAGAUGAAUUACGGUGAAAGCCGUAAGCCGCAAGGCAUCUGUGAAGGUGCUGCAUGGUUGUCGUCAGCUCGUGCCGUGAGGUGUCGGCUUAAGUGCCAUAACGAGCGCAACCCUUGUUGUCAGUUACUAACAGGUUCCGCUGAGGACUCUGACAAGACUGCCAUCGUAAGAUGUGAGGAAGGUGGGGAUGACGUCAAAUCAGCACGGCCCUUACGUCCGGGGCUACACACGUGUUACAAUGGGGGGUACAGAGGGCCGCUACCACGCGAGUGGAUGCCAAUCCCCAAAACCUCUCUCAGUUCGGACUGGAGUCUGCAACCCGACUCCACGAAGCUGGAUUCGCUAGUAAUCGCGCAUCAGCCACGGCGCGGUGAAUACGUUCCCGGGCCUUGUACACACCGCCCGUCAAGCCAUGGGAGCCGGGGGUACCUGAAGUGCGUAACCGCGAGGAGCGCCCUAGGGUAAAACUGGUGACUGGGGCU